CCUGAGGCCCACUCUUUAUCACUGCCUCUCUCCCAAGAGCUACCCAGACCACUCAGUAGACCAGUGCCCAGCUCUCUUUCUAGGCUUAAACUUGGCAGCAGAGUCCCAUUUACUUAACGUGCUGAAGGUAGAGCGAGGUGGACGUGCACGCCUCAUGGCUAAAGAUAAAUGCCAGCUAAUGCCUGAAGUGUGGAAAACAUCGUGAACAAAUUCAGGGCUACUGUGUUCAUCCUCCCAUCCCUAGGCCAGUGGGUCUCUGACUGGUGAACACAGGGCUGCUGCCUCCGUGGGCCUCAGUUCUGAGCCUGCCCGCACUCUGCAUCCCAUACACGUCUUCCCAGUCCCACCAGAGAGCUGGCUCCAGACCCGCUUUAGAAGAGCUGGUGGCCUUUCCUGAAGCCAGCCGUGUGCACUGGGAACUGAAGUGUAAACAGGAGCAAAGCUCAAGGCCUCGCUGGUAAUUCUCCCUUUGUGGUGGGCAUUAGCUAGCCUCACUCACGAAGGGGACAGCCCAGGGGUGUAAGAUGCCAAGUGCCCUUAGACACCUCCACUGCCUGGGGGUGCCAGGUGGCCUCGGUGUGGCUGGCAGCCCAGGGUGAGUCCUGUGAUGAGCAAGUGCAUGGGCAAGCAGGCCUGGCUUUCUCCAUCUGCAAAGCAGGGAUGGUGUCUGCCUCAUUUAGAGGCUGGGGAGUGGGCGAGAUAAAAGGGUGGUUGAAGGGGCUUCAGCAUGAGCCUGGUGGCGUGUGAUGGAACAGACACCCAGCUGCCAAGGGGCAAAUACAUCCAUACCCCUGCCCCACCUUCUAGGCCUAGUAAAGUAGUAAAAUAGUCAGUAAAGGCACCAAUUGUCCCCACCUGUGUCUAGCUGCACAUCAAGGAAAUGUGUCUGGUCCAGGCAUUGUGACCUGUAAGGGACUCCACCCCGCCCUGCCACAGAGCAGUGGGCGGGGAACCCGGACCUACAUGGAGGCGCCUCCCCAGGAUGGACAUGGCACCCACAUUGGCACCCUCUGGUCUUGUCCCCACAGGACACCCCUCUGUCAUGGUGAUCAAGACGGCUAGGGGGCAGGGAAGGCGAGAAGAGGGAGGAGACACUGGUGUGACUCAUAGCAAAGUAAGAGCUUCUUCCCUCCUCUCUGCACCCCAAAUACGGAAUGAAAAGAUCUAAAGAAGUCUGGCCAGAGGGACACUGAGAUGAGCAAUGUGGUUGGAGGAGAGGAUACUGACCCAAGAAUUCUCUGGAUAAGAAGAAGGAGGAGGGGAAGCCUGAAGUGGAUGGGUCGAGCCUCAGCUGUGGAAGAAUUGCUAAUUACAGCCACCAUAAGGAAAUAUCAAUGAUGGACGUCAAUAUUAUUGCCUCCUGCAUCCCUGCCUGUUUAUUUGGAGAUGAAAAGCGCCCUAGGGUCAUCUCUCCAGGACGAAGAUGAGUGAUGACAGAAGGGAGGAGAGCUACACAUGGAGAAAAGGGCAUCCUCCAGCUGGAUUCAUUCAUGAAACCAGGACCCAUUUCCUCUGGGCAGAGUUCUCUCCACUGAGGGCCCAGGGCUGGGGCUGAGGGCAAAGGAACCUGCACAGGGAGGAGGAACUAGUGAUCCUGCUCCCAGCCCUGGUUCACCAAGUGACUGCAUGUAUGCCUCUUUGUGCCUCAGUUAACUCAUCUGAUAAAUGGGUAUGACAAUUCCAGU
This 1685-nucleotide long non-coding RNA is filed under the name Homo sapiens (human). RNAcentral's name for it is "HSALNT0223059". The record is from RNAcentral. Lineage: Eukaryota; Metazoa; Chordata; Mammalia; Primates; Hominidae.